GACUUAGCGGGUUUCUUUUUUUUGAAACAACUCUUGUGAUAUUUGCUUUUGAUUUCGAAGGUUGUGGCUGCCAUGUUAGCUAUUGCUAGCUUUGUCCUUAUUGCUUCCUCAAUGUUGAAUGGUGUAAGGAAGAUGUUGCUUGAACCUCUUACUGAUGUGAUUAUGGAAUGGUUCUCUUGAGAAUAGAAUGCAUCAUUGACUUAAUUGAAAC
This 211-nucleotide long non-coding RNA is filed under the name Lathyrus oleraceus (garden pea). RNAcentral's name for it is "Pisum sativum (pea) long non-coding RNA (PSAT_LNC016387)". The record is from RNAcentral. Lineage: Eukaryota; Viridiplantae; Streptophyta; Magnoliopsida; Fabales; Fabaceae.